AGAGUUUGAUCCUGGCUCAGGAUGAACGCUAGCGGCAGGCCUAAUACAUGCAAGUCGGACGGGAUUGUUAGGAGAGCUUGCUCGAAUAACAUGAGAAUGGCGCACGGGUGCGUAACGCGUGAGCAACCUACCCAUAUCAGGGGGAUAGCCCGGCGAAAGUCGGAUUAACACCGCAUAAGAAUGUAGUAUCGCAUGGUACAGCAUUUAAAUAUUUAUAGGAUAUGGAUGGGCUCGCGUGACAUUAGCUAGUUGGUAAGGUAACGGCUUACCAAGGCAACGAUGUCUAGGGGCUCUGAGAGGAGAAUCCCCCACACUGGUACUGAGACACGGACCAGACUCCUACGGGAGGCAGCAGUAAGGAAUAUUGGUCAAUGGAGGGAACUCUUACCCACCAUGCCGCGUGCAGGACGACUGCCCUCUGGGUUAUACAACUUUUGUCAGGGAAUAAACCUACUGCGUGUAAGUAGUGAAUUACC
This 476-nucleotide ribosomal RNA is filed under the name uncultured bacterium. RNAcentral's name for it is "bacterial SSU rRNA". It matches the Rfam family "Bacterial small subunit ribosomal RNA", at positions 8 to 479 of the family's 1533-position model. The record is from RNAcentral.